This 116-nucleotide small nuclear RNA is filed under the name Tupaia belangeri (northern tree shrew). The record is from RNAcentral. Lineage: Eukaryota; Metazoa; Chordata; Mammalia; Scandentia; Tupaiidae.
UUGCUUCUGCAGCACAUAUACCUAAAACUGGAACGGUACAGAGAAGAUUAGCAUGGCCACCUGUGCAAGGAUGGUUCACAAAUAAGUGAUUGGGACAGCCCAGGGAAAGGGUUUGU